This 1409-nucleotide ribosomal RNA is filed under the name Pantoea dispersa. RNAcentral's name for it is "bacterial SSU rRNA". It matches the Rfam family "Bacterial small subunit ribosomal RNA". The record is from RNAcentral. Lineage: Bacteria; Pseudomonadati; Pseudomonadota; Gammaproteobacteria; Enterobacterales; Erwiniaceae.
CACAUGCAGUCGACGGCAGCACAGAAGAGCUUGCUCUUUGGGUGGCGAGUGGCGGACGGGUGAGUAAUGUCUGGGAAACUGCCCGAUGGAGGGGGAUAACUACUGGAAACGGUAGCUAAUACCGCAUAACGUCGCAAGACCAAAGUGGGGGACCUUCGGGCCUCACACCAUCGGAUGUGCCCAGAUGGGAUUAGCUAGUAGGUGGGGUAAUGGCUCACCUAGGCGACGAUCCCUAGCUGGUCUGAAAGGAUGACCAGCCACACUGGAACUGAGACACGGUCCAGACUCCUACGGGAGGCAGCAGUGGGGAAUAUUGCACAAUGGGCGCAAGCCUGAUGCAGCCAUGCCGCGUGUAUGAAGAAGGCCUUCGGGUUGUAAAGUACUUUCAGCGGGGAGGAAGGCGGUGAGGUUAAUAACCUUGCCGAUUGACGUUACCCGCAGAAGAAGCACCGGCUAACUCCGUGCCAGCAGCCGCGGUAAUACGGAGGGUGCAAGCGUUAAUCGGAAUUACUGGGCGUAAAGCGCACGCAGGCGGUCUGUUAAGUCAGAUGUGAAAUCCCCGGGCUUAACCUGGGAACUGCAUUUGAAACUGGCAGGCUUGAGUCUCGUAGAGGGGGGUAGAAUUCCAGGUGUAGCGGUGAAAUGCGUAGAGAUCUGGAGGAAUACCGGUGGCGAAGGCGGCCCCCUGGACGAAGACUGACGCUCAGGUGCGAAAGCGUGGGGGAGCAAACAGGAUUAGAUACCCUGGGUAGUCCACGCGUAAACGAUGUCGACUUGGAGGUUGUGCCCUUGAGGCGUGGCUUCCGGAGCUAACGCGUUAAGUCGACCGCCUGGGGAGUACGGCCGCAAGGUUAAAACUCAAAUGAAUUGACGGGGGCCCGCACAAGCGGUGGAGCAUGUGGUUUAAUUCGAUGCAACGCGAAGAACCUUACCUGGCCUUGACAUCCAGAGAACUUAGCAGAGAUGCUUUGGUGCCUUCGGGAACUCUGAGACAGGUGCUGCAUGGCUGUCGUCAGCUCGUGUUGUGAAAUGUUGGGUUAAGUCCCGCAACGAGCGCAACCCUUAUCCUUUGUUGCCAGCGGUUCGGUCGGGAACUCAAAGGAGACUGCCGGUGAUAAACCGGAGGAAGGUGGGGAUGACGUCAAGUCAUCAUGGCCCUUACGGCCAGGGCUACACACGUGCUACAAUGGCGCAUACAAAGAGAAGCGACCUCGCGAGAGCAAGCGGACCUCAUAAAGUGCGUCGUAGUCCGGAUUGGAGUCUGCAACUCGACUCCAUGAAGUCGGAAUCGCUAGUAAUCGUAGAUCAGAAUGCUACGGUGAAUACGUUCCCGGGCCUUGUACACACCGCCCGUCACACCAUGGGAGUGGGUUGCAAAAGAAGUAGGUAGCUUAACCUUCGGGAGGGCG